Molecule: long non-coding RNA, 2118 nt
Filed under: Triticum aestivum (bread wheat)
Lineage: Eukaryota; Viridiplantae; Streptophyta; Magnoliopsida; Poales; Poaceae
Description: long non-coding RNA (TAES_LNC015388)
Source: RNAcentral
GAGCAUUACAAAACAGGGUGCUACCUCCUCAUUCGAAACCACAAGAAUCCUCCCCAAAAACAUUCCCCCUAGUAGAUAUUUUCCGACUUGCUUCGCGAUGUACAAACCAAAUUGAGAUGUUAUCUUAAUUAAAACUAACGUUCAUUUAUUUGUAUGGCAAACGAAACAUAUACACAGAACCAAAUACUACAAUAAACAGCUAGCUAUGCUCACAAGCUUGUGACCAUAAAUAUAUAUGGAUUAUUUAUCCAAAAGUCCGUGGUGUUAAGAAAGAUGUUAUAUUGCGCAAAGACAGUUCCCACAUCAAAUCUAUGGCGCAUAUGUUACCACAUAUUGUUGGGGUACACAUUUUAUAUACUGGAAACAAGCCGUAGACAAAAGAAACUCCUUUAUCAUCACUCCAUGAAAUAAAAAAACACAUGACGAGGAGAAUUACCAUCGUAAUAUUAAACCUGAAAACAAACGGUCUUAGUUACAUAGAAGUCAGCAAGAAUUAGAAACAUUGGAGCUAAUUAGUUAACCAAUUAAAUUUUCCCUGAGACACUAAUCAAACCAUAAAACUCUCAAUACAAGUCCACUAAUUACUUAAAUUAGCAUAAGGGUUUUAAAAAAAAAUCUCACCUAUUGACUCCGGCACACGUUCGAAACGUGGAAAGAUCAACAGACUUGUUGGGCAGAUCGAUCUUGCCGCAGUUGGUCCACUAAGAAAAUCAUAAUGCCACACUUGGUGUAAACUGCAGGGGGGAAAGAUAUUUCAGCUAGAACCAAUAUUUUUAACCUGAUGCACUGAUAAGAGAACACGCAGGAAGCCGGUUAAGAAAAACUAAACCACAUGCGUUUUAUACAGACCGUGCACACACUAUUGAUACAGAGCCGACCCAUCCGUCUUGAAUCUUUCUGAAAUUACAAUCCAAUUAAAUAUAUAAAACCCAGUAUGGUACUAAAUAUCCAACUAUCUGGAUUUCUCUACAAACAAUCUCAACUUGGAACCAGUAUAGUCUGAAAACUUUACUGGUAGGAUUGAGAAAACAUAGGUACCUUGAUCACAUGGAUUUUGCUCUGCGGCGUUUGCUGGAAAUCCCUAAUUACCGGCUAGAAAAUUCUCACCCACUCCAAGCCACACAAACUGUUCUUCUCACCCUCAGUCCUUCUUCAGAUGCACACAUUCGUCAUUUGGUUAAAUGAUAGAAAAAAAUUGCAUGAACAAUCAAUGUAUAUACCUGAAUUAAACAGUAGCUACAAUGGUCACGCACUUCAUCUUCUUUUCUAUUCGAGUGGACACCAGAUCAAGCUAGUUGAUGGUGCUCUGAAAGUCAAUGUACAUCUGAUACACCACGUUGAUGAUUUUUUGCUGUUUCAUGGGCCACACUAUUGCUAUCUCAUGCAAAUCUCCCGUAGAUUUCCUCUGAUCCGACCCAAAUCUGAUACACCAUGCAGCCUAACAAAGCAAGAAAAUGCACCAAACUGAAAUCAUGUUUUGCAUAAGCAGAUUAUAAGAUAAUUUUGAAGGGUUCUGUGUAAUAAACAAUUUAAAGCAGCACAUGCAUGUCGGAGGACCAUAUAUUGACGAAUACAAUACAUAACACUGUACUCUGAAAGUCAAUGUCGUUGUACUCACUUAUUUCCUCUUACAGCAAAUACAUAGUGAUGAAUUAAUGUAGGCGAUCUUUACUUUAAUCCAUAUGCUGUGUUAUUAACUACAUGAACAUGAGAAACUGAGACUCAAAUAUUUCUUUUGUGCCAUUGCAAACCUAGUUAGGUCUCUUCUCUCCAAUAAUCAAAAGAGAAUACAUGCAUCUAAAGAAAGCACAUACAUACCUCCAGUUAAGACCAUCUAAACCAUUCGGGCAAAAAUAUGUAUAGUCAUUGAUCAGCUAUACAUGCCUGAUGCAGCCGCAUGGCUUCGUUUCUCGUGUUCUCCUCCACCUGACCAUCGUCGCCACUCCCCACCAUUGCAUGUGCCAAGUUCGUCCUCGUCACACAUGCUUGUAUUAUGUUCGCUGACACAGGAAUAGUGAUCUCCACGCCCGCCCUUACCCACUCGUCGGGCCCCUACUAAACGCAUCUCCGCGUGCGCCCUCGCCACCAAGUGCCUUUCAGCGACACAGAGAGAGACUA